Eubacterium sp. CAG:252 is the source of this 166-nucleotide non-coding RNA. The record is from Rfam. NCBI's taxonomy places the organism in Bacteria, Bacillati, Bacillota, Clostridia, Eubacteriales, Eubacteriaceae.
UGAUACCAGGGGCAAAAGGCCUAAAUCCACAUGAGCCUGCUUAUAGGUGGGUGAAUGACCUUGUGACCCGACCCAAUAUGAGCAUAAAAGUGAGAUGAUAGUCCCACGAUAUGCGAAUAUUGGGGGAUUGUGGGAGUGCGCAGCACGGAACAAUCCGUAGGUAUCA